GAUGAACGCUGGCGGCGUGCCUAACACAUGCAAGUCGAGCGGCAGCGAGGGGUGCUUGCACCCUGUCGGCGAGCGGCGGACGGCUGAGUAACGCGUGGGAACGUGCCCCAAAGUGAGGAAUAACUGCCCGAAAGGGUAGCUAAUACCGCAUAUUAUCUUCGGAUCAAAGGAUUUAUCCGCUUUGGGAGCGGCUCGCGUCGGAUUAGGUAGUUGGUGAGGUAAUGGCUCACCAAGCCGACGAUCCGUAGCUGGUCUGAGAGGAUGACCAGCCAGACUGGAACUGAGACCCGGUCCAGACCCCCAGGGGAGGCAGCAGGGAGGAACCUUCCACAAUGGGGGAAAGCCUGAUGGGGCAACGCCGGGGGCAGGACGAAGGCCUUCGGGUUGUAAACUGUUUUUAAAAGGGAGGAAUAUGACGGUAAUUUAUGAAAAAGGAUCGGCAAACUACGU
RNAcentral lists this ribosomal RNA (450 nucleotides) under uncultured bacterium. Its description in RNAcentral is "partial 16S ribosomal RNA". It matches the Rfam family "Bacterial small subunit ribosomal RNA", at positions 28 to 506 of the family's 1533-position model. The record is from RNAcentral.